Molecule: long non-coding RNA, 2872 nt
Organism: Chelonia mydas (Green sea turtle)
Lineage: Eukaryota; Metazoa; Chordata; Testudines; Cheloniidae
Exons: 3
Source: RefSeq, a predicted model, not a curated record
GGGAAGGGCUGGGCUCGGUCCAACCCCCUCAGCCAGCGGGUGCGACCAGCGGGUGCGUGGAGCGAGCGCGGACUCUGCCCGCCGCAAAGCGCAGAGCCACCCCCAGCAACAGCCGCUGUCCCGGGCUCCUCCAAAUGGGUCCCGAGCCAACUUGGCAGGCUAAGCAGGAGGAUUUAGGAGGCAGAGGGACCCGAAGAAGAUCUCUGUGUAGCCCCAAAGCUCGUCUCUCUCAGCUACAGCCGAUAGUCCCAUAAAAGAAGAGCUCCCUCCAGUGCAGUAUGAAGAAGCCUGCUGCUGCCUGUCCUAUACUUGUUUUAUAGUUAGACAGAUCUUCUGCCUGCCAACUAUCAGACCAACAUUUUUCAAGGGCUAAAUCCUGACCUUUGGUGAACACAUGAAGCACCUAGUGAAGUCAGUGGAAAUACAAAAUGUGAUCCACAAGUCAUUUCACUGUAAGCACUCCUGGCCUGUUUUUCAGUGGUCUUCUCAAAGCUCACAGAGAGGAAGAAAGAAAAGCCAUUGAUGAGCCACAGGAAAUGGGUACACUUUCAGAGUUGCCUGACCACUCUUAGAUGUCCCUAAUCUCUACUACUGGCAACUGGUUCUUUUAUUACAUGCUGCUACAGGACUAACAAAAUUAAGGCUUUUUCCAGAUUUAUUGUUGCUCUGGACCCAACAUUUACUCAAUCAUACAAAGAGAUGAAUUCAUGGGUUUACUUGUUGCUGCUUCUAGACUUUCUGGCACUGACUGUUCUGCUUCCGUGUAACAAAUAAUAUUUUUUUUAAAAAGUCCAUAAUAUAAAACAAAAUUCAUUGUCAUAUGCAUAGUCACACAGUUGCUAUUUUGUACUGUAACAUAUGAAGGUGUGUUAUUUCUGCUAUUUAAAGAACAUUAAAUAACAGGUUUUUUCAGAAUCAACACCAAACAUAUGUGCAUAAUUCCAGAGAAAAUAAAGGAAAAACAAGCAUUAAAUACAAACAACAGCUCUGUUCAGGCAGCAGCCACAUGCUGGCCUAGUUUACCAAAAUUAGUUGGGAAAACUUCUUCCCACACAGACUCAUCUUAUCUAAGGUACCAUCACAAUAUUAGAAUUUUUAAGACAAUUUAAAAUGUUUUACUUUCAGAAGGCUGACUUCUCACAGAGCUCAGAAUUCCAUCUUAGCAGGAGAAAAUACCUGCUUAGGCUGCUUCUAUCACAAAGGACCCUAAAUGCUUAAAUCCAGUUAACAGACUGGCCUUAUUUAUGAAUGGAUAAAUCUCUUUCUCUCUCUCUUUUCUCAUUUUCAAAUACACCUGCAAAAUCAUUUUAAAAGUGCCAUAAUGCUUGUGAUGGAAAAUUAAUUAUCUGUGAAGCUGUAGAUAAUUAUGACAAAUAUUUCAGCCUUAGUAAACUCUGUCUAAAUUCGUGUCUUCAAAAUGUGUAUGUAGUUUAAAAUAAUAAAAAAUGCUUGUAGGUCAUAGCUAAUAAUGUUCAUAACAGAAUAAAUAACUCAUAAGCUCACUCCAACUAAGGGUUAUUAUGUUUCCACUAGUUUAACAAUACUUUUUCAGUACAUUUUCACAGUUGUCAAGAAGCUUGAUGCAUUAAUAUUAUUUGGUAGGGAGUUAUUUAAAGAUUAUUCACACUUUUCCUAUCUCACUUUGGGGCUUUAGACAUACAUAAUAUCUUAAAUACUCAAAUGCUUUCAUCAUUUUGUCCCCCCAACCCUGCUCUACAGAAAUAGAAAGGCUGCAAAGAGUGAAAUGUCACUGCGUGGGAGAUUGUUCUGGGUUUUUUACUUUAAUGUAUGUGGUUUAAUUUUGAGGUCAGAUUUUGGUAUUCCCAGCACCUGCUCUUCUUCCUGGUUAGAGAAAGGGGCUGGGAAUGUUUUGUUGAAAAUGCCUGUGACAAAACCAGUCAGUCAACAAACAUAACAUAGUUUUCCAGCCUUGCUAGGCUGGGACACUAACACAUGCUAGCUUAAUUCUCUACAUUCAAAUUACUCCUUUGUGGACCAAGCUGGGAAGAGGUGGGUGACACAAACUUACCUUUUAUUUGGGAGAGGAAAGUCAAAUCAAUGCGCUUAAGAGCUGCUGUAGCUCACGAAAGCUUAUGCUCAAAUAAAUUUGUUAGUCUCUAAGGUGCCACAAGUCCUCCUUUUCUUUUUUAGAAGGGAGAGAGCAAUUGAGAGACUGAGUGGAUAGCUAUAUGGGUUCAUAGAGCUAUGGAGAAUUGAACUUGCUAAAGAGCGGGAGCCUUGAAUCCUCUGUAAUGGAUCUAUGGACUUCUACCUCCUUUUCCUAAGACUCCUCAACCAAUAGUUCCUCUCCUGGCAGUAGCUAAAAGCAUAUCCUUUCUCUUUUUUCUGAAAUAUAGUUGCAGGUGGGAACCCCACUUUAAGAUCUAGGGAGGAAUAAAAAUUUGGGGGUUAACUUAAGGCACAGGACUUGCAGACAAGAGAUUCCAGCACAACUUUCCUAUGUGAACUUGGAUCAGGCAUUGAACUUCUCUGUGCAUCAGUUUUUCCCCAUCUGUAAAAUGGUAAUAGUAACUCACAUUAACCCAGUGUGGAUCUUUAUCCCUCUCUAGUGUCAGGUCCACAUAAAAGAUAUUUCUCAGUUAUGUUUCUUCCUUCAAACUAAUGGAUCACAUUCUUUAGCUCAAGCAGUAGAGACUCAUGCUCUUAGAGCCAGAGGUUCAUUCCCCACAAAUUACUUGAUUAGGGUGUCCUUACAGGAUAAUAAUACUUUCCAACCUCAGAGGUGUGUUGCAAGGCUUCCCUACUCCAUGUUUAAAUGCUCUAAGAAUCUUGGGUGGAGAACACUGUAUAUAAGUGUAAAUUAGUGUUCCUAACUCUUUAAAUGUGAACUUCUGAAUACUAUUUUUAUUUA